AUCAAAUGUUCCUAUGUGGAACCCUGUACUCUUCAAACUUCCAUCAAAUGUUUUACUGCUUUUCUACAGAAUAGGCCAAGAUGUUCAAAAAUGGAGUGGAUUCAUGAAACGGUCAUAUGAUAAAGGUAUUACAUGGACAGAAAGAGAACAACUUCCGCCUGGUAUAUUAGGACCUAUAAAAAAUAAGAUAUGGGAGAGGGAAUGUGUCUUUUGGCUCAAAGUCACGCCCAGUUCGUUACAUGUGCGUGACACAGUUCCAUCUCACUUUGCCAUACGGCACUUUGCCACAAGAAUUCUCAUCCACACCACCUCUUUCUACUGAUGCAGUAGUUGGUUUUCAUGACUCAAAACUUUGUAAUGAAGUGAAGAUGUGUAUACGUCUUAUGGUAUCUGGCGUACCUGCUACGGUGGAGCACCGAGCCAUUGCGGCAACAGGCACGUCCACCUUGGCUGCCUUUAUGGCCAAGUGUGUUUAGAAUUUCAUUAAAGCAAUGGAUUUGUUGAAAUUGAACAUGGUAGUUGUGGAUUAGGUGCAUCCUUUGCUCUCAAACCUUUAUGGUUCACUUAACAAAUUGACGAUUUUGUCGUCGGGUUUUGAGGGGAAAAUAAAAAUGAAGGAUUGGACUGAUUUAUGUACCAGAACAGUGGCGUAGAGGAGCAUCAAAUGAACCAAGCAUCAAAUGAACCAAAAAACAAGUGAAGAUAUACCGAAUUCUGAAGAAAUAUUGCCAAAACAAAAGCCAAAGAAGAAG
This is an RNA transcript of Vicia villosa (hairy vetch), 752 nucleotides long. RefSeq lists it as uncharacterized. The transcript is spliced from 6 exons. NCBI's taxonomy places the organism in Eukaryota, Viridiplantae, Streptophyta, Magnoliopsida, Fabales, Fabaceae. The record is from RefSeq and is a predicted model, not a curated record.